This is a non-coding RNA of Ricinus communis (castor bean), 107 nucleotides long. NCBI's taxonomy places the organism in Eukaryota, Viridiplantae, Streptophyta, Magnoliopsida, Malpighiales, Euphorbiaceae. The record is from Rfam.
AGAUCAUGAUGUGGACGGCUCCUCAAUAAAUCCUUAAACUAUUCCCAACAAUCACAGAAAGUUUCAUUCUCCUAUUGAAGAAAUCCUGCUAUAUCAUUUCUCAACUU